Molecule: long non-coding RNA, 490 nt
Filed under: Erythranthe guttata (spotted monkey flower)
Lineage: Eukaryota; Viridiplantae; Streptophyta; Magnoliopsida; Lamiales; Phrymaceae
Description: long non-coding RNA (EGUT_LNC003878)
Source: RNAcentral
CUCAUCACAUAGAUCAAUGACCAACUUCACGUUUUCAGAACUUGUAAUUAUAAUGACAAUUCUUAGGCAUUCGCAAGCUCAAAAUUCAACAACACUUAGUCACUCACCAUUACCAAAAACCACAAUUCAUACAAUUGCUUCAAGCAUCCAAUAUUUGCAAAUUAAAGAUAGAAAAAAUUUAUACUUACAUGCAUAUGCUUGACUCCAAAUACUCACCAAAUUAUUCUACUCUACUAAUAUCGAAUAUUAAGCUAUUGGGAUCAUUGGGGCUUUGUGGCUUUCAAUUGUUAGGCUCUUUGGUUCGAGGUAGGAAAUAUGGGUAUGUGUGGCUAUUCUUCUUGAAUUUAGGUGAUUACGCCAAAAUUUGAAAGAUAGGCGUUUGAAACAAUGAAUUCACCUCUACGGACUUUAGUAAACUCGAUUCUCAAAAGUUCAAAGGUCUCCACUUUUUCUUUUGAGGCAAGGGGUCGAGUUUUCAAAAAUAAUUCAC